AUAUUUUUUUUUUGCAUUGCUGCGAUUACAUUCUGAAUGUUUAAAGUGUGUAUAAUAAGCCGCUAAACCCUAACCCUAGGGUUAAUCGUAUACGGGGGUAAUAGCGUCUCUAAAGGUGCACAGGUGUGAAUGAAUGAAGAGGUGUGCACUUGUGAGAACCAGCACUAGCCUCAAUAAUUCGUUAAUGAUCCUUCCGCAGGUUCACCUACGGAAA
Molecule: unclassified non-coding RNA, 214 nt
Filed under: uncultured fungus
Lineage: Eukaryota; Fungi
Description: sequence contains ITS1
Source: RNAcentral